Molecule: ribosomal RNA, 496 nt
Filed under: uncultured bacterium
Lineage: Bacteria
Description: partial 16S ribosomal RNA
Rfam family: Bacterial small subunit ribosomal RNA
Source: RNAcentral
GAUGAACGCUGGCGGCGUGCCUAAUACAUGCAAGUCGAGCGAACAGACGAGGAGCUUGCUCCUCUGACGUUAGCGGCGGACGGGUGAGUAACACGUGGAUAACCUACCUAUAAGACUGGGAUAACUUCGGGAAACCGGAGCUAAUACCGGAUAAUAUAUUGAACCGCAUGGUUCAAUAGUGAAAGACGGUUUUGCUGUCACUUAUAGAUGGAUCCGCGCCGCAUUAGCUAGUUGGUAAGGUAACGGCUUACCAAGGCAACGAUGCGUAGCCGACCUGAGAGGGUGAUCGGCCACACUGGAACUGAGACACGGUCCAGACUCCUACGGGAGGCAGCAGUAGGGAAUCUUCCGCAAUGGCGAAAGCCUGACGGAGCAACGCCGCGUGAGUGAUGAAGGUCUUCGGAUCGUAAAACUCUGUUAUUAGGGAAGAACAAAUGUGUAAGUAACUAUGCACGUCUUGACGGUACCUAAUCAGAAAGCCACGGCUAACUACGUG